RNAcentral lists this ribosomal RNA (379 nucleotides) under uncultured eukaryote. RNAcentral's name for it is "partial 18S ribosomal RNA". It matches the Rfam family "Eukaryotic small subunit ribosomal RNA", at positions 592 to 975 of the family's 1831-position model. The record is from RNAcentral.
CAAUAGCGUAUAUUAAAGUUGUUGCGGUUAAAAAGCUCGUAGUUGGAUUUCUGCUGAGAACGACCGGUCCGCCCUCUGGGUGUGUAUCUGGCUCUUUCUUGGCAUCUUCUUGGGGAACGUUGCUGCACUUGACUGUGUGGAGCGCUACCCAGGACUUUUACUUUGAGGAAAUUAGAGUGUUUCAAGCAGGCAUACGCCUUGAAUACAUUAGCAUGGAAUAAUAAGAUAGGACCUCGGUUCUAUUUUGUUGGUUUCUAGAGCUGAGGUAAUGAUUAAUAGGGAUAGUUGGGGGCAUUCGUAUUUAACUGUCAGAGGUGAAAUUCUUGGAUUUGUUAAAGACUAACUUAUGCGAAAGCAUUUGCCAAGGAUGUUUUCAUUA